CGUGGGUAACCUGCCCAGGAGACUGGGAUAACACCUGGAAACAGAUGCUAAUACCGGAUAACAACACUAGACGCAUGUCUAGAGUUUAAAAGAUGGUUCUGCUAUCACUCUUGGAUGGACCUGCGGUGCAUUAGCUAGUUGGUAAGGUAACGGCUUACCAAGGCAAUGAUGCAUAGCCAGUUGAGAGACUGAUCGGCCACAUUGGGACUGAGACACGGUCCAAACUCCUACGGGAGGCAGCAGGC
Molecule: ribosomal RNA, 245 nt
Filed under: uncultured bacterium
Lineage: Bacteria
Description: partial 16S ribosomal RNA
Rfam family: Bacterial small subunit ribosomal RNA
Source: RNAcentral